UGUUGUUAAUAAAAAAAGAAGAAAGAAGAUUUUCAUCUAAAAUGAGAAAAGAGGAGAGAAAACAGCUGCAUUUAUGCAAGAUGCUCCCCACUAGAUCAUCACUAAAAUGAAAGUAAAGGAAUGAAAGAGGAGAGGUAGGAGAGGAAAAAACAAUCUGUGAGAAAUAACAACAUAUAUCAGAAGCUGGAAAGUGCAUGGAGUAGAGCUCAGUGACACAACAGAGCAGAAAAAGCAGAAGCAGAGAGGAAUGAGCGUACAAAGCAAGUCUGAAUUUACCCUGGAGAACCCCACAAAGGCUUGAAACUUGGAAACAUCAUGAACUGCUGGGCCAGAGGUGAGGAUCCAGAUGAAAAUCAAAAGAAUUAACUGAAAGUCUGAACUAGAACAGUAAGACUUCUGGAUGUCUCCACCUCUCGCUGCCCAAAGACAGCUCCUUUCCUCUCCUCCACAGAGACCAGAGGUUUAGUCUCAAACACUGAGGGUACCAGUGAGAAGGGAGUGGAGGAGUGAGGCAUCAGGUUGAAAUCAGAGUGGUUAGGGGAGAGUCUAGACUGAAUAGUCAGACACUGCCUACCUGCUUCAGUUCCUGACUUGUGUCUAGAACUUCAUUAGCCAGGGGUAUUCCAUCCUUUGUCCACUAACACACACAGGAGAUCAGAAAAUUCUUCUAUGGAGAAAUGGAAUUGCAGAAAACUGCUACAGAUAUUGGCAUCCUGACCAUGUACUGGCCUCCCCAAUUAAAAACCCAAUUUGGCUGGGCACAGUGGCUCACGCCUAUAACCCCAACACUUUGGGAAGCCGAGGCAGGCGGAUCACCUGAGGUCAGGAGUUUGAAACCAGCCUGGUCAACAUGGUGAAACCCUGUCUCUACUAAAAAUACAAAAAUUAGCCAGGGGUGGUGGUGCACACCUGUAAUCCUAGCUACUCGGGAGGCUGAGGCAGGAGAAUCACUUGAAACUGGGAGACGGAGGUUGCAGUGAGCUGAGAUCGGCCAUUGCACUCCAGCCUGGGAAACAGAGUGAGACUCUUGUCUCAAAAUAAAUAAAUAAAUAAAUAAAUAAAUAGAAAGGAAAAACCCAAUUUGCCUCCAAACUACCCUGCAGUGAGGCUUUCUACUCUUAUUUUAGUGACCCAUUCUCAAAUAUGAAGUAUCACUAGAUACCUGAGAAAUGAGUGAAAAACACCAGAUAAAAAGGAACUCAGAAGAAACAAAGGCAAUAGAGAAAGCAAAAAAAAUUUAAACUUUUUCUGUUAAUACCUUUAGAUACAUAAGGCAAGAUCUUGAGUGUAUGAAAAAGAAUAAGAUUACAUAACAAGGAGUAAUAAGGAAAAAAAA
RNAcentral lists this long non-coding RNA (1336 nucleotides) under Homo sapiens (human). Its description in RNAcentral is "novel transcript". Lineage: Eukaryota; Metazoa; Chordata; Mammalia; Primates; Hominidae. The record is from RNAcentral.